GUGGGGUUGUAGCUCAAUGGUAGAGUGCUUGCCUAGCAUGUGUGAGGCACUGGGUUUGAUUCUCAGCACCACA
RNAcentral lists this transfer RNA (73 nucleotides) under Marmota monax (woodchuck). RNAcentral describes it as "tRNA.Ala". It matches the Rfam family "tRNA". Rfam says of the family: Transfer RNA (tRNA) molecules are approximately 80 nucleotides in length. Their secondary structure includes four short double-helical elements and three loops (D, anti-codon, and T loops). The record is from RNAcentral. Lineage: Eukaryota; Metazoa; Chordata; Mammalia; Rodentia; Sciuridae.